UUUGCCUAUGGAUUAGUCAUUGACUAUUAUAUGGAAUAGUUGGAAAGUUUAACCACUAGGAUUCUAUGGAUUAGUCUAUUGACUAGACCAUAGACUAUUCUAUUAAUUAAUUUAUGGUUUAAUCUAGUGACUAGCUUAUGGGCUACUUAGUAACGGUACUUUAUAUGUCGUGGGGCUACUGCAGUAUCUUUCGUUGUCAAAAAGUUCUAAAUAGUACAAUAGCCUGAGUACAAGAGUACUUAAAAAAAGAGGACUUUUAAACCACAACAACAAACUUAUCUUAAAUACACAAAGUUUCUGAAGCAACAAUCAAAUAGUUGGCAACUCUUGUGUGUCAUUUAGUGUUUGACUAGUUUGCGGAUAUUUCGCUGCAAAUAAGAGUAGUUCACUAACGACUCUCUAGCAACUAACAACAAACAACAAUAAUAAUAACAAAAUUAAAUAAAUAAAAAAGCAACAGCUAGACCAAAUGCAACAACAAAAGCUCUCACAUUGUGUAGUAAUGAGAGAAAGAUAAAAAACAAUUGUACAUAAAAGUUAACAAAAAAAAAAAAAAAUGCAUUUUCCGCAAUUGACUUUUCAUAACAAUUCGUAAUAAAAUAAAAAUAACAACAAUUGUCUACUGUUUUAAUUAUGUUUAAAGUGAUAAAAAAUAAACUAUUUUUAACUGUGAAAAAAAUGAAGUAUAACAGUGAAUCAUAUUAAAAAUAAAACAAUUUUAAGUUUUGAAAUCUUUUGAAGACAAAAAAAAAAAUAAUAAAUAAACUUUAAUACUGCAGAAUUAUAUUUAUAGUUCAAUAAAACUAAAACGCCCCGGUAGUCGGUCAGUCAAUCUUUCAUUACGCUUGCAUUUUCUAAUCUUUAUUAUUGUUUAUGUACAAAUGUACAUCGUGUUUUAUUUAUUAAUUAAACGCGUAAUACUUAGUAUUAGACGUUAUUGUUCGUCUUGAUAACAUUUGGAAAAUUAUUAGAAAUUUUAUAUGAAUUUUCUGAAUGCAGUGCAUAAUUAAUAGUAAUUAUAUAACAAAAGUGCAUAAUUAGAAAUGUUUUUUGUUUAUUAAUCAUCAAACAAAUCAAUAAUAUAGUUCAAAUUCCAUUUUGUUUUAGGCGUAAGUGUCGGAAAAAAAAGUUAAUCAACAGUUUUUUUUUUUUUGUUAAUUCCAUAAAAAUAUGUUUUUAUACAUUUGCCAGUUAUAAAUUGAAAUAAAUUUUGAAAAUUUUUGAGAUUUUGAAAGAAAAUCUUAAAGUAUUUAAAAGUGUUAUAAAAAAAGCGAAGGUGAAAAGAACAAAAUUUAAAACACAAUGGAGUUAGAAAUGGAGAAUUCAAAAAUGUUGAAAAACACCAGUAUCGUACGCAAUAUUGAUAUAGAAUUUAAGGAUCUCACCUAUAAAGUUAAAGUGCCAAAGCAAAAAG
Lucilia sericata (common green bottle fly) is the source of this 1414-nucleotide long non-coding RNA. RefSeq lists it as uncharacterized. The transcript has 2 exons. Lineage: Eukaryota; Metazoa; Arthropoda; Insecta; Diptera; Calliphoridae. The record is from RefSeq and is a predicted model, not a curated record.